CCUACGGGGGGCAGCAGUGGGGGAUAUUGCACAAUGGGGGAAACCCUGAUGCAGCAACGCCGCGUGAGUGAAGAAGUAUUUCGGUAUGUAAAGCUCUAUCAGCAGGGAAGAGAAUGACGGUACCUGACUAAGAAGCCCCGUCUAACUACGUGCAAGCAGCCGCGGUAAUACGGAGGGGGCGAGCGUUAUACGGAGUUACUGGGUGUAAAGGGAGCGUAGACGGCUGGUCAAGUCUGAAGUGAAAGCCCGGGGCUUAAACCCGGAACGGCCUUGGAAACUGAGCAGCUAGAGUGCGGGAGAGGUAAGCGGAAUGCGUGGUGUAGCGGUGAAAUGCGUAGAUAUUAGGAAGAACACCAGUGGCGAAGGCGGCUUACUGGACAGCAACUGACGUUGAGGCUCGAAAGCGUGGGGAUCAAACAGGAUUAGAUACCCGGGUAGUC
This 440-nucleotide ribosomal RNA is filed under the name uncultured bacterium. RNAcentral describes it as "partial 16S ribosomal RNA". It matches the Rfam family "Bacterial small subunit ribosomal RNA", at positions 338 to 795 of the family's 1533-position model. The record is from RNAcentral.